GACGUAGGGCGCGAGCGUUGUCCGGAUUUAUUGGGCGUAAAGAGCUCGUAGGCGGCUUGUUGCGUCGACCGUGAAAACCCGGGGCUCAACUUCGGGCCUGCAGUGGGUACGGGCAGACUAGAGUGCGGUAGGGGAGAUUGGAAUUCCUGGUGUAGCGGUGGAAUGCGCAGAUAUCAGGAGGAACACCAGUGGCGAAGGCAGAUCUCUGGGCCGUAACUGACGCUGAGGAGCGAAAGCAUGGGGAGCGAACAGG
This 253-nucleotide ribosomal RNA is filed under the name uncultured bacterium. RNAcentral describes it as "partial 16S ribosomal RNA". It matches the Rfam family "Bacterial small subunit ribosomal RNA", at positions 524 to 776 of the family's 1533-position model. The record is from RNAcentral.